GUCUCUUAAAGGGAGGAGAGAAAAAUCAAUCCUUUUCAAUUCUUACUAUCCAGGCUACAUAUGUGGUGCAACUGGUCUCCAGAGCCGCCCGCUCCCACAGCAUAUCCAGUGGUUCCAGUGCCGAGCUGGAACCAGAGGAUGACGUGGAAACCAGAUCAAAAGGGAACCUGAGGUACUACAAAGACCUCUGUGGCACCAAAGGGAAUAAAAAAGAAGAAAGAACUCCUUGCAUGGUCUUCCUACGAUUAAAGAUUGGAAAUACACAAAACUGAGCACAAACAGGACUGGGCCAGCCAAACAGUCACAUACCUGAAACCCAGGAGAGAGAGAGGCAACAUUUGGAGAGUGGAGGAGGAGCUGCAGUAGAGAAGAAAGUGCC
RNAcentral lists this long non-coding RNA (379 nucleotides) under Heterocephalus glaber (naked mole-rat). RNAcentral describes it as "lncRNA (ENSHGLG00000030139.2)". The record is from RNAcentral. Lineage: Eukaryota; Metazoa; Chordata; Mammalia; Rodentia; Bathyergidae.